This is an RNA transcript of Sarcophilus harrisii (Tasmanian devil), 482 nucleotides long. RefSeq lists it as uncharacterized. Lineage: Eukaryota; Metazoa; Chordata; Mammalia; Dasyuromorphia; Dasyuridae. The record is from RefSeq and is a predicted model, not a curated record. The transcript is spliced from 2 exons.
GUAAGGUGGCCCGUGGUCCCCGGGGGCUGGGGAAGGGCCCAGGGGCAAGAGGUGCCCCUUCUCCUUGCCUCCUCCCUCUCCUCCAUUAGGAGCCCACGUGUGGGCGGAGUCCCCUGCAUCUGGCCGUGGAGGCCGAGGCGGCCGAGGUCCUGGAGCUGCUCCUGGUGGGUGGCGCAGACCCCAAGGCCCGCAUGUAUGGAGGCCGGACCCCACUGGGUAGCGCCACGCUUCGGGCAGACCCCCUCCUCGCCCGCCUCCUGCGCGCUCACGGGGCCCCAGAGCCUGAGUCAGGAGACGAGGAAGACUCCAGCCCCAGGGGCAGCGACAGCGACGAAGGGGAUGAGUAUGAUGACAUCGUGGUCCACGCAAGCAGAAGCUGAAACGGGGGCACCCCUCCCUCUCCUGCGUCCCUUCUUUUAGCCGAGUUCUUUCUUUUGUAAUGUAGAAAAGCUUUAAUUUCAAUAAAACCCUGGUUCUUCUGA